Molecule: ribosomal RNA, 396 nt
Filed under: uncultured bacterium
Lineage: Bacteria
Description: partial 16S ribosomal RNA
Rfam family: Bacterial small subunit ribosomal RNA
Source: RNAcentral
AUACGAAGGGUGCAAGCGUUAAUCGGAAUUACUGGGCGUAAAGCGCGCGUAGGUGGUUUUGUAAGUUGGAGGUGAAAGCCCCGGGCUCAACCUGGGAAUUGCCUCCAAAACUGCAUGACUAGAGUACGGUAGAGGGUAGUGGAAUUUCCUGUGUAGCGGUGAAAUGCGUAGAUAUAGGAAGGAACACCAGUGGCGAAGGCGACUACCUGUACUGAAACGGAAACUGAGGUGCAAAGGCGUGGGGAGCAAACAGAAUUAGAUACCCUGGAAGUCCACGCCGUAAACGAUGUCAACUAGCCGUUGGGAUCCUUGAGAUCUUAGUGGCGCAGCUAACGCAUUAAGUUGACCGCCUGGGGAGUACGGCCGCAAGGUUAAAACUCAAAUGAAUUGACGGGG